RNAcentral lists this ribosomal RNA (585 nucleotides) under uncultured bacterium. RNAcentral's name for it is "bacterial SSU rRNA". It matches the Rfam family "Bacterial small subunit ribosomal RNA", at positions 338 to 916 of the family's 1533-position model. The record is from RNAcentral.
CCUACGGGAGGCAGCAGUGGGGAAUUUUGGACAAUGGGCGAAAGCCUGAUCCAGCAAUGCCGCGUGUGUGAAGAAGGCCUUCGGGUUGUAAAGCACUUUUGUCCGGAAAGAAAUCCUUGACUCUAAUACAGUCGGGGGAUGACGGUACCGGAAGAAUAAGCACCGGCUAACUACGUGCCAGCAGCCGCGGUAAUACGUAGGGUGCGAGCGUUAAUCGGAAUUACUGGGCGUAAAGCGUGCGCAGGCGGUUUGCUAAGACCGAUGUGAAAUCCCCGGGCUCAACCUGGGAACUGCAUUGGUGACUGGCAGGCUAGAGUAUGGCAGAGGGGGGUAGAAUUCCACGUGUAGCAGUGAAAUGCGUAGAGAUGUGGAGGAAUACCGAUGGCGAAGACAGCCCCCUGGGCCAAUACUGACGCUCAUGCACGAAAGCGUGGGGAGCAAACAGGAUUAGAUACCCUGGUAGUCCACGCCCUAAACGAUGUCAACUAGUUGUUGGGGAUUCAUUUCCUUAGUAACGUAGCUAACGCGUGAAGUUGACCGCCUGGGGAGUACGGUCGCAAGAUUAAAACNCAAAUGAAUUGACGG